Molecule: ribosomal RNA, 1537 nt
Filed under: uncultured bacterium
Lineage: Bacteria
Description: partial 16S ribosomal RNA
Rfam family: Bacterial small subunit ribosomal RNA
Source: RNAcentral
GAGUUUGAUCCUGGCUCAGGACGAACGCUGGCGGCGUGUUUAACUAUGCUGUGGGGCGACGAACCACGGCUUGCCCUGGGGCCAACUCGCGAACGGCCGACUAUGCGUGGGUAACCUGCCCCGAUGACGUUACACAACUUUAGGAAACUCACGCUAAUAGCGGAUGUGGUGCACAGUCGUAUUUCUGUGUACUUUGCUGAUCUUCGGCCUCCACAUUGUCAGGCUUCCGGGACCCAUUAUUUAGUUGCCGGUCCCAAGGCCUACCAAGGUUACGAUGGUUGCUUGGCCUGAGAGGACUAUCGCCCUUUGUGUGACUGAAAGACGGACCAGAGUCCUACUGGAGGUAACGGUGGUGAAUCUUGGGCAAUGUCCCAAACUUCGACCGGUUUGCGCCCCGUGGGCUAAGACGGCCUUCCGGUUGUAUGCCCCUUUCAUGAGGGACGAAGGUUCGCCGGUGAAUAGACUUGCGGAUUGAUCUCACCUCCACAAGAGACUCCGGCUAUGUACCUGCCGUGAUGCGGGCCAAUACGAAGGGAGCGAGUGUUGUCCGGAAUCCUUGAUGGUAAGGCGCGCGUAGGUGCUUUCGGAUGUCCGUUGUGAAAGUCAAAGGUUCAAUCUUUGAGAGCCGACGCAUACUGUGCAUUUAGAUUACGGAUUACGCGAGUGCUCUUCCUGCUGUAUACUUGGAAUGCGCAGAUAUCAGGAGGAACACCAAUAGCGAAGGCAGCUCGCUGGGACGUUACUGACACUGAGGCGCGAAAGCGUGGGGAGCGAACAGGAUUAGAUACCCUGGUAGUCCACGCCGUAAACGAUGGGUACUAGGUGUGGGAGGUGUCGACUCCUCCCGUGCCGUCGCUAACGCACUAAGUACCCCGCCUGGGGAGUACGGCCGCAAGGCUAAAACUCAAAGGAAUUGACGGGGGCCCGCACAAGCAGCGGAGCAUGUGGUUUAAUUCGACGCAACGCGAAGAACCUUACCUGGGCUUGACAUGUUGGUGACCGCCGUGGAAACACGGUUUUCCUUCGGGACACCAUCACAGGUGGUGCAUGGCUGUCGUCAGCUCGUGUCGUGAGAUGUUGGGUUAAGUCCCGCAACGAGCGCAACCCCCGUCCUAUGUUGCCAGCAUUUAGUUGGGGACUCAUAGGAGACUGCCGGUGACAAACCGGAGGAAGGUGGGGAUGACGUCAAGUCAUCAUGCCCCUUAUGUCCAGGGCUACACACGUGCUACAUUGGCGCAUACAAAGGGCAGCAAUACCGCGAGGUGGAGCAAAUCCCAUAAAGUGCGCCUCGGUUCGGAUUGGAGGCUGAAACUCGCCUCCAUGAAGGUGGAGUUGCUAGUAAUCGCGGAUCAGCAAUGCCGCGGUGAAUACGUUCCCGGGCCUUGUACACACCGCCCGUCACACCACGAAAGCGAGUAACACCCGAAGCCGGUGGCCUAACCGCAAGGAGGGAGCCGUCGAAGGUGGGACCCGUGAUUGGGGUGAAGUCGUAACAAGGUAGCCGUAGCGGAAGCUGCGGCUGGAUCACCUCCUUUCU